RNAcentral lists this ribosomal RNA (328 nucleotides) under uncultured eukaryote. RNAcentral's name for it is "partial 18S ribosomal RNA". It matches the Rfam family "Eukaryotic small subunit ribosomal RNA", at positions 1470 to 1796 of the family's 1831-position model. The record is from RNAcentral.
CCCUUAGAUGUCCUGGGCCGCACGCGCGUUACACUGAUGCAUUCAACGAGCUUAUAACCUUGGCCGAGAGGCCUGGGCAAUCUUGUUAACGUGCAUCGUGAUAGGGAUAGAUUAUUGAAAUUAUUAAUCUUGAACGAGGAAUUCCUAGUAAACGCAGAUCAUCAAUCUGCAUUGAUUACGUCCCUGCCCUUUGUACACACCGACCGUCGCACCUACCGAUUGGAUGGUCCGGUGAAGCCUCGGGAUUGUGGUUCUUGCCGCUUUAUUGUGGCGUGACCGCGAGAACUUGUCUAAACCUUAUCAUCUAGAGGAAGGUGAAGUCGUAACA